RNAcentral lists this ribosomal RNA (274 nucleotides) under uncultured soil bacterium. RNAcentral describes it as "partial 16S ribosomal RNA". It matches the Rfam family "Bacterial small subunit ribosomal RNA", at positions 26 to 282 of the family's 1533-position model. The record is from RNAcentral.
AGAAUCAACGCUGGCGGCGUGCCUCAGACAUGCAAGUCGAACGCGAAAGCCCCCUUCGGGGGGCAAGUAGAGUGGCGCACGGGUGAGUAACACGUAGGUAAUCUACCUUUGGAUGGGGAAUAACGAACCGGAAACGGUUGCUAAAUACCGCAUAAUGCAGCGGCACCUAAUGGUGACAGUUGUUAAAGCGGGGGAUCGAAAGCCUCGCGUCUGAAGAGGAGCCUGCGGCGGAUUAGCUAGUUGGUAGGGUAACGGCCUACCAAGGCUACGAUCC